RNAcentral lists this long non-coding RNA (1581 nucleotides) under Equus caballus (horse). RNAcentral describes it as "lncRNA (ENSECAG00000037406.2)". Lineage: Eukaryota; Metazoa; Chordata; Mammalia; Perissodactyla; Equidae. The record is from RNAcentral.
UGGGACGCCGCCUCAAUGUGGCCUGACGAGCGGUGCCAUGUCCGCGCCCAGGAUCCGAACCCUGGGCCACUGCAGAGGAGCGCGCGAACUUAACCACUCGGCCACGGAGCCGGCCCCCAUAACAGGAUUUUUAAGGAUAUUUCUCACAUAAAGAUGAAACCAGCUCUUCUUUUUCUUAUCUCCCAAGACAAGAUCAUCGUGAAGGGAAUUUUCAGAAUAUCCUAAUUAUUUUUCUAUGUUGCCAAUUGUUUCUCUAUAGAGUUUGUGCUCUGGUCAGAACUCAAAUUUGAAGGGAAACCAGAAAAUGUGGUUGUUUGGGGAAACUUUCUAUGAGACAGGAGAAAGCUUUUAUUUUUUAUUUUUUUAGCUACUAAUACUUUUACAACACUUUAAAUGUCUAACCACCUAACUAAUCUCAUUCAAUCUUCCUAACAACUGUAUGAGGGAGCUGUUUUUGUUUUUUAAUUCCUAUUUUAUAAAUGAGAAAACUGAGGCACAAGAAAUGUACAACUGCCUGAAGGUCACAUGAAGAAGGGAGAACUGGAACUCUGAACUAAAGCUGGUACUCUUUCCUUGAUGUAGUGCUUUUCACCUGGAAAUAACCUAAACCAGGGCCUUGAGGAGAGUCAAGCCUGAUUCUCCUGCAGCCCCUUCUCUCCUUCUAGCAAAUGGGCCCCAGACCAUUUCUCAUUCUCUUGAACUAAAGGUAAGUUCUCAUCUAGUAGCCAAGCUGCCUCUCCUUUCUCCAGCCCUGGGGAUCCCUGGUACUCAAAAAAUCAUUUCUCACAUUUUUCUGCCACCCCUUCCUGUCUCCACUCCAACUCUCUCCCUGCAUUAAGACCCUCUGGCCUCUCCUUGUUUUUCUAGGUUGAGAGCUUUCACCCAACUGGAUUCAGUACCUACCUGGCCAUGCCUCCCUCCUAAGAGAAUACUGAGAGCUGAGAGGACACUCAGAGACUGCAGCAGUGCUAGCAAUGGGGAGACACCUACCACGCGGCUUCAUACACCCUUCUUUCAAGGACAAAGUCUUUUUUCCAGCUGACUGGGGUCUUGGGACAACAUGGAAAUAUGAAGAACUGGUAUCUCAUCAGAAAACUGACAUCGUUCACUAUACACAUCAGCUGUGGGCUUUGAAAUGGAAGCCAAGAGGAAAUCUUUCCAUUUCUUGAUGUAUGCCCUUUAAAAUGGAACCUACUGAAGACCCCCCAGUGGAAAUCCAACAGGGUAGGUCUGGCAGUUAAUAGAGAUUAGAAGUGCCUGCUCAUGACUCAACCACUCUGAGAGUUUAUCACUGCAAGACGGGUUGGUGGUUUUGACCAUUAUACCAUUUUACAUGGAUUUUUUUUCUUACUCAUACAUUCAUUUCACUUAUAUCCAUAGGUCAUCAUUGGUUAAAGUUAUGGAUCAUAAGGAAUAUUCAAGCUAAAUAUAUUAAUGAGAAGCAUAAAAGUGAUCACUCAGAAAAUUCACCUGAGGAUUAUCUUUAAAAAUAAUAAUUGUGAGGGGCUGGCCCCUUGGCCGAGUGGUUAAGUUUGCGCGCUCCGCUGCAGGCGGCCCAGUGUUUCGUUGGUUCGAAUCCUG